RNAcentral lists this long non-coding RNA (312 nucleotides) under Sus scrofa (pig). Its description in RNAcentral is "lncRNA (ENSSSCG00070017700.1)". The record is from RNAcentral. Lineage: Eukaryota; Metazoa; Chordata; Mammalia; Artiodactyla; Suidae.
CACAGGUUCAAUCCCUGCCCUCGCUCAGUGGGUCAAGGAUACGGCGUGGCCUUGAACUGUGAGGUAACAGCUGUAGCUCCGAUUCGACCCCUAGCCUGGGAACUGACAUACGCCUCGGGUACGGCCCUAAAAAGCAAAAUAAAAUAAGAAAGUAAACUUGACAGUCACUGAUAAGUUCCAUUCUCUUGGCUUCCUGAGCCCGUCACUGAAGUGUGUCUGUCACUUUCAGGUUCCUGCAUGAUUCCAGUUCAGCAGCUCAGAGUAACGGCCCAUCCUCCCAGAAUCCUCCUGCCGGGUCAGAACCAACUGAAG